RNAcentral lists this ribosomal RNA (253 nucleotides) under uncultured bacterium. RNAcentral describes it as "partial 16S ribosomal RNA". It matches the Rfam family "Bacterial small subunit ribosomal RNA", at positions 524 to 776 of the family's 1533-position model. The record is from RNAcentral.
UACGUAGGGGGCUAGCGUUGUCCGGAAUCAUUGGGCGUAAAGCGCGCGUAGGCGGCCAGAUAAGUCCGGUUUGAAAGUCACAGGCUCAACCUGUGAAUGCCGCUGGAAACUGUCUGGCUAGAGUCCGGAAGGGGCGAGUGGAAUUCCUGGUGUAGCGGUGAAAUGCGCAGAUAUCAGGAGGAACACCAAUGGCGAAGGCAGCUCGCUGGAACGGUACUGACGCUGAGGCGCGAAAGCGUGGGGAGCGAACAGG